UAUAAUGCAGGAUUACAGCUGCAAAUCGCAAAUUUAUAUCCGGAAGUUAUGUUCCCUGUGAGUCGUAAUACACCGAUGAUUUCUCAUCUUAUAAGAUGGGAUCAUUCCGAAGAUUGGUAUGCAUACCGUUAUUUUGCACAAAGAAAACUUUACAUUGGGGAAGCAAUUGUUACCAUUAAUUUAUUAGAUGAAGAAUUUACAUAUAUGACCGGGCAUGUCGUUAAUAGAAAAAAUUUAUUACCGGCUACAGGAUAUCUUUUCCUGAUAUGGCAAAUGAUCGGCUGG
Camponotus floridanus (Florida carpenter ant) is the source of this 285-nucleotide long non-coding RNA. RefSeq lists it as uncharacterized. The transcript has 2 exons. The record is from RefSeq and is a predicted model, not a curated record. Lineage: Eukaryota; Metazoa; Arthropoda; Insecta; Hymenoptera; Formicidae.